GACGAACGCUGGCGGCGUGCCUAAUACAUGCAAGUAGAACGCUGAAGGAGGAGCUUGCUCUUCUGGAUGAGUUGCGAACGGGUGAGUAACGCGUAGGUAACCUGCCUGGUAGCGGGGGAUAACUAUUGGAAACGAUAGCUAAUACCGCAUAAUAGUAGAUGUUGCAUGAUAUUUACUUAAAAGUUGCAAUUGCCCCACUACCAGAUGGACCUGCGUUGUAUUAGCUAGUUGGUGGGGUAACGGCUCACCAAAGCGACGAUACAUAGCCGAGCUGAGGAGGUGAUCGGCCACACUGGGAAUGAGACACGGCCCAGACUCCUACGGGGGGCAGCAGGAGGGAAACUUCGGCAAUGGACGAAAGGCUGACCGAGCAACGCCGCGGGGGGGGAGAAGGGUUUCGGAUCGGAAAGCUCUGUUGUAAGAGAAGAACGAGUGUGAGAGUGGAAAGUUCACACUGUGACGGUAUCUUAACAGAAAGGGACGGCUAACUACGUG
Molecule: ribosomal RNA, 495 nt
Filed under: uncultured bacterium
Lineage: Bacteria
Description: partial 16S ribosomal RNA
Rfam family: Bacterial small subunit ribosomal RNA
Source: RNAcentral